UACGUAGGCAGCAAGCGUUGUUCGGAGUUACUGGGCGUAAAGGGUGCGUAGGCGGCUCUAUAAGUAUGGUGUGAAAUCUCCCGGCUUAACUGGGAGGGUGCGCUAUAGACUGUGGGGCUGGAGUGCGGCAGAGGAGACUGGAAUUCCUGGUGUAGCAGUGAAAUGCGUAGAUAUCAGGAGGAAUACCGAUGGCGAAGGCAGGUCUCUGGGCUGACACUGACGCUCAUGCACGAAAGCGUGGGGAGCAAACAGG
RNAcentral lists this ribosomal RNA (253 nucleotides) under uncultured bacterium. RNAcentral describes it as "partial 16S ribosomal RNA". It matches the Rfam family "Bacterial small subunit ribosomal RNA", at positions 524 to 776 of the family's 1533-position model. The record is from RNAcentral.